This 303-nucleotide ribosomal RNA is filed under the name uncultured bacterium. RNAcentral describes it as "partial 16S ribosomal RNA". It matches the Rfam family "Bacterial small subunit ribosomal RNA", at positions 507 to 809 of the family's 1533-position model. The record is from RNAcentral.
AGCAGUAGCCACGGUAAUACGAAGGGUGCGAGCGUUACUCGGAAUUACUGGGCGUAAAGCGUGCGUAGGUGGUGGUUUAAGUCCGUUGUGAAAGCCCUGGGCUCAACCUGGGAAUUGCAGUGGAUACUGGGUCACUAGAGUGUGGUAGAGGAUAGUGGAAUUUCCGGUGUAGCAGUGAAAUGCGUAGAGAUCGGAAGGAACAUCUGUGGCGAAGGCGACUAUCUGGGCCAACACUGACACUGAGGCACGAAAGCGUGGGGAGCAAACAGGAUUAGAUACCCCUGUAGUCCCUGUCUCUUAUAU